RNAcentral lists this ribosomal RNA (490 nucleotides) under uncultured bacterium. Its description in RNAcentral is "partial 16S ribosomal RNA". It matches the Rfam family "Bacterial small subunit ribosomal RNA", at positions 30 to 507 of the family's 1533-position model. The record is from RNAcentral.
AUUGAACGCUGGCGGCAGGCCUAACACAUGCAAGUCGAACGGUAACAGGAAGAAGCUUGCUUCUUUGCUGACGAGUGGCGGACGGGUGAGUAAUGUCUGGGAAACUGCCUGAUGGCGGGGGAUAACUACUGGAAACGGUAGCUAAUACCGCAUAACGUCGCAAGACCACAGAGGGGGACCUUCGGGCCUCUUUCCAUCGGAUGUGCCCAGAUGGGAUUAGCUAGUAGGUGGGGUAACGGCUCACCUAGGCGACGAUCCCUAGCUGGUCUGAGAGGAUGACCAGCCACACUGGAACUGAGACACGGUCCAGACUCCUACGGGAGGCAGCAGUGGGGAAUAUUGCACAAUGGGCGCAAGCCUGAUGCAGCCAUGCCGCGUGUAUGAAGAAGGCCUUCGGGUUGUAAAGUACUUUCAGCGGGGAGGAAGGAAGUAAAGUUAAUACCUUUGCUCAUUGACGUUACCCGCAGAAGAAGCACCGGCUAACUCCGUG